CGCGUCCCCCCCCCCCGCU
RNAcentral lists this ribosomal RNA (19 nucleotides) under Juniperus californica. Its description in RNAcentral is "partial 26S ribosomal RNA". Lineage: Eukaryota; Viridiplantae; Streptophyta; Pinopsida; Cupressales; Cupressaceae. The record is from RNAcentral.